CACCAGACUCCUACGGGAGGCAGCAGUGGGGAAUAUUGGGCAAUGGGGGAAACCCUGACCCAGCGACGCCGCGUGAGGGAAGAAGGUUUUCGGAUUGUAAACCUCUGUCCUUGGUGACGAUAAUGACGGUAGCCAAGGAGGAAGCCACGGCUAACUACGUGCCAGCAGCCGCGGUAAUACGUAGGUGGCAAGCGUUAUCCGGAUUUAUUGGGUGUAAAGGGCGUGUAGGCGGGAGCGCAAGUCAGAUGUGAAAACUCAGGGCUCAACCCUGAGCCUGCAUUUGAAACUGUGUUUCUUGAGUGCUGGAGAGGCAAUCGGAAUUCCGUGUGUAGCGGUGAAAUGCGUAGAUAUACGGAGGAACACCAGUGGCGAAGGCGGCCUGCUGGACUGCAACUGACGUUGAGGCUCGAAGGCGUGGGGAGCAAACAGGAUUAGAUACCCGAGUAU
This 447-nucleotide ribosomal RNA is filed under the name uncultured bacterium. Its description in RNAcentral is "bacterial SSU rRNA". It matches the Rfam family "Bacterial small subunit ribosomal RNA", at positions 329 to 793 of the family's 1533-position model. The record is from RNAcentral.